GCCCCUAUUCUAAGGCGCUUGAGAGAACUCAGGAGAAGGAACUCGGCAAAUUGACACCGUAACUUCGGAAGAAGGUGUGCCUUUAGUAGGUGAACCAUUUACUUGGGGAGCCCAAUGAGGCUGCAAAAAAUCGGUGGCUGCAACUGUUUAUUAAAAACACAGCACUCUGCUAAGACGAAAGUCGACGUAUAGGGUGUGACGCCUGCCCGGUGCUGGAAGAUUAAAUGAUGGGGUGCUAGCUCUUGAUUGAAGUCCCAGUAAACGGCGGCCGUAACGAUAACGGUCCUAAGGUAGCGAAAUUCCUUGUCGGGUAAGUUCCGACCUGCACGAAUGGCGUAAUGAUGGCCACACUGUCUCCUCCUGAGACUCAGCGAAGUUGAAAUGUUUGUGAUGAUGCAAUCUCCCCGCGGAAAGACGGAAAGACCCCAUGAACCUUUACUGUAGCUUUGUAUUGGACUUUGAACAGAUCUGUGUAGGAUAGGUGGGGGGCUUUGAAGUGUGGUCGCUAGAUCGCAUGGAGCCAACGUUGAAAUACCACCCUGGUGUGUUUGAGGUUCUAACCUAGGUCCAUUAUCUGGAUCGGGGACAGUGCAUGGUAGGCAGUUUGACUGGGGCGGUCUCCUCCCAAAGUGUAACGGAGGAGUUCGAAGGUACGCUAGGUACGGUCGGACAUCGUGCUAAUAGUGCAAUGGCAUAAGCGUGCUUAACUGCGAGACUGACAAGUCGAGCAGAUGCGAAAGCAGGACAUAGUGAUCCGGUGGUUCUGUAUGGAAGGGCCAUCGCUCAACGGAUAAAAGGUACUCUGGGGAUAACAGGCUGAUACCGCCCAAGAGUUCAUAUCGACGGCGGUGUUUGGCACCUCGAUGUCGGCUCAUCUCAUCCUGGGGCUGUAGCCGGUCCCAAGGGUAUGGCUGUUCGCCAUUUAAAGAGGUACGUGAGCUGGGUUUAAAACGUCGUGAGACAGUUUGGUCCCUAUCUUCCGUGGGCGCUGCAGAUUUGAGGAAGCCUGCUCCUAGUACGAGAGGACCGGAGUGGACGAACCUCUGGUGUAUCGGUUGUCACGCCAGUGGCAUUGCCGAGUAGCUAAGUUCGGAAGAGAUAACCGCUGAAAGCAUCUAAGCGGGAAACUCGUUUCAAGAUUAGAUCUGCCGGGGCCUUGAGCCCCCUAAAGAGUCGUUCAAGACCAGGACGUUGAUAGGUCAGGUGUGGAAGCG
Molecule: ribosomal RNA, 1214 nt
Filed under: metagenome
Description: bacterial LSU rRNA
Rfam family: Bacterial large subunit ribosomal RNA
Source: RNAcentral